Molecule: long non-coding RNA, 3236 nt
Organism: Triticum dicoccoides
Lineage: Eukaryota; Viridiplantae; Streptophyta; Magnoliopsida; Poales; Poaceae
Exons: 15
Source: RefSeq, a predicted model, not a curated record
UCCCGCACUCGCGCCUCCCCCGCGCCCAGCUCCUCCCGCCUCGCCGCCUCCUCCUCUCCCCUCCCGCGCGCCUCUCUCCUCCCACCCACAUCGCCGCCGCCGCCACCCACCACCUCGAACCGCGCCGUCGGCGGCCAGAUCCGCCGCAACAGAGCCCCGCACCCUCCCCAACGAUGAUGAGCAGCAGCGGAGGGAGGACGUGGAGCACGACAGCGGCGGCGGAGGGGAGCAGCAGCAGCAGGCCUCGCCGGGGCGCCCCUCGCCUCCUCGUCGCCCGCCGGGGGCGCCUGGUUCAGGGCCGCCCUCGCCUGCCGCGGCUACGUCCUGUUGUCGCUGCUCGCCCUCGCGCUCCUCCUCCUUCUCCUCGUUGGGUACCUCAGCCAGAAAAGCAGGGCACCAUUCACCAUGGAGGACUGCCGCGUCCAGUCUCCCUCACUCCCUCACUUCCUCCCUCCUGCCUCAAUACCCUAGCACCCAUGACCAUGGCGACUCCACUGGAGGUGCAGCAAGCAGGUGCUGUUGUGUGAAGGACAGGAGAAGAGGGUAGAGGAGAGGAUUGCUACUGUCUCACCUGUUUCUCCGUCUUCUUCUUCUACUACGUCCUAUGUUGGUCAGACCAGGAGGCGUUGCCAUCGAUUAUAGGGUGUCGGACCAACGUCCUCGUGUUCGUGCAUCUUCGGAAGAAACGACCCGAGGUGAGUCGCCUCUGGUCCGCCGCACGAAGAGAGCGGGGGCUAGAUCGCAAGGGCAGAGUUGCAGUCCUCCAGGGCCGCGGGAAGAAGAAGAUGGGACUCAUAUACAAGCCUCCCUCUCGUGGUGAACACUUCCCUGGAAUUGAUGGAAGAUCUGCCUUGCAGCCUUAGAGGAUCCAUGCAUCGUGUGAUGUAUGGUCUACAGGCUACCAAUGCAACUGAUGUAGUCCUGCACAACACAAAUAAUUUAGUGGUGCUUGGAUCUAGGAGUGAACUGGGUCAGGGUUCUGUACUAUAGGAGGAAACAGAUGGGGCAUGUGGUUUUCAAGGAAAAAUAUUGGAACUGAUGCCUUGCGUUGAUCUCUCUGAUCUGGUCGGCCUGGCGCGGGAACUGAGCCGCCGUCGAUGAAUUUAUCGCAGCUUGGAUACCUGUUGCUUUGGAUCCGCUUUGAAUGCAGGUAGGUUUGUUCAUAGGUUUAUGCGGCGCAUGUACUGGCAUAAUACUUGUUGAAGCACCUCCCUGGCUUCCUUGCCUUGCUGCUCUAGCACCAGCCUCGCCACCACUAAGGAUACCCAUCAUGUGUUUAGGAUCCCACACAUGGCGGUUCUUGAUAUGCUUCGAGCACACCUUGGGCUAUCACCAGCUCAGUACGAGCGUGUUGUUCAUGAGGGAGGGUCGAUUUGAUUGACUAAAUCUGUAGCCAGCCAGAACCAAGGUUCAGGUCAUUCUUGUACGGACAUCUACGUUGCCAUCCCAGUAAAAGGGCAGCUUGAUUGAAUCAUGUUUGGUUAAAAGAAGUUCAGAAUCUGCAUCUCUAACUCUUCAUCGAUGAUCAAGAAACUCAUUCUUUGAUGAUUUUUUAUUCACUUGCAUGUGUUCCGGCAUUAUUAUUAUGAACCUGUGACAAAUAUCUUUUUAUGCUACUGUAGUGAGCAUCAUGCUAGCUAUUAUGAUGCUGUACUGAAGUGCUAAUCAUGUGAGUGAAUAUAUAUUAGUUGGUUUAAGCAUCAGUGAAUAUUAUUUACCCCAUAAAUCUGCACAUAAUUUUCUAUGCUAUGUGGUAGGUUUUUCUAAUUGUUGGUCAUUUGAUCCCGAUAUGAUCUCUUACUUAGGUGCUUGCUGCACCCAUAUAUUUUUAGAGCAGAGGAGAUGGUACAUCAUAUAGUUUGGUCACGAGGUUUAUUUUUUACCACUGGCUAUGUAGGUUUUGUGCUAGAAUGCAUUUCGUACACAACUAUUAGCUAUGCUUAAUUGUGUUUAGCAACUUCCUUGCAGCUCGUGCGUUGCAGAAUUUUAUAAUUAGCAAGAAUUUUACCUCCCUGGACUGAAUAAUUAGCUGACUUGGCACUAUAUAUGUUCAUAUCUGAUUGUGCGAUGUGUGAAAUUAAGUUGCAGCCCUUAGUAUACUUCAUUUUUUCCCUAUGCUUCCUUCAUAUUUUCCUAUAAACUAACUAGAAGCUUUAUAUUUUAUGAGAUGCAUGGGCACUUAUCGUUGCAGCAUGAGUUGCCACCAAAUCAGAUUAGAAUUUUUUUAAGCAGAUUCCUAUAUUUUGAAAUAGUUAUGCUGAUCACAUUGCUUAGAUGGUUCAUGUCUUAUUUUGUAAUGUACUUCAUCGUGUCUCAAGCUUUAUGUGCUUAAUGGUGAGACGUCUCACAUGAUCUUAAAUAUGAUCAGCGAAAACCUGAGUGCUGGAGAUGUAUAGAACAGGACGAAGUUUACCCUGAAUAUGCCGUCUAUCCCCUUCCUGAAGGCAAAGCUUGGGUGACACAUCUCUUGGCAGUGGCUUGCCUAUCUCUCGCUUCAAAGAUGGAGGAGACAUAUGUGCAGCUCCCCGUGGACCUACAGUUUCAUCUCAAUUAAUCGACGGUUUUCGCUUGAAAGAUGGUUGAGGCAAAUUCUGCGUUUGAGGGAAGGACAAUAAAAAGGAUGGAGCUUUUGGUGCUCAGCACCUUCAAAUAGAGGAUGCAAGCUAUUACUGCUUGCUCAUUUAUUGACUACUUCCUUUGCAAAUUCAAUGAUCAUGACGCACCCUCCAUGCUCGCAUUCUCCUGCUCGACCGACCUCAUCCAGAGCACAGCUAAAGGCCAAAGGAAUCUUGCGCAUAAAACAAGAUAAUGACCAAGAAGAGCAUGUGAGGGGCCAGCAGGUGUUUAUCCCGAGUGAUUUCAGUGUUUGUCAAGCCUGAUUAAGGCCGUCAUGCUUAUUCUCGACAUGCAAUGGAUUCUUAUGUCUGUUUAGGCCUAACCUCACCAAACUUUGCUACACUUCACAUCAUGAGGGAGGGAGGAUGCGUCCAUUGCAACACAAGCAAAUCAGGUGACAAGGUGUUUGGAGAAGCUACUCAUAGCUAACUACAUAGUUUAGUACAAUGUAUUAAAGCAGUGUAAAUAAAUAACUUAUAUGGCCUGCUUUUGGUACAUAGUACCGAACCUUGAUCUUUAGGUAUUUCAUGCUACAAUUUUUAACAAAUGCACCAAUGGUUUGUAACGAGAUUUGAUGUUUUGCAUUGGACCAUUACUGUUGUAAGUAAAUAUUAUCUUUU